RNAcentral lists this ribosomal RNA (468 nucleotides) under uncultured bacterium. RNAcentral's name for it is "partial 16S ribosomal RNA". It matches the Rfam family "Bacterial small subunit ribosomal RNA", at positions 28 to 507 of the family's 1533-position model. The record is from RNAcentral.
GACGAACGCUGGCGGCGCGCUUAACACAUGCAAGUCGAACGGAAAGGCCCUGCUUUUGUGGGGUGCUCGAGUGGCGAACGGGUGAGUAACACGUGAGUAACCUGCCCUUGACUUUGGGAUAACUUCAGGAAACUGGGGCUAAUACCGGAUAGGAGCUCCUGCUGCAUGGUGGGGGUUGGAACGUUUCGGCGGUUGGGGAUGGACUCGCGGCUUAUCAGCUUGUUGGUGGGGUAGUGGCUUACCAAGGCUUUGACGGGUAGCCAGCCUGAGUGGGUGACCGGCCACAUUGGGACUGAGAUACGGCCCAGACUCCUACGGGAGGCAGCAGUGGAGAAUAUUGCACAGUGGGCGGAAGCCUGAUGCAGCGACGCCGCGUGCGGGAUGACGGCCUUCGGGUUGUAAACCGCUUUCGCCUGUGACGAAGCGUGAGUGACGGUAAUGGGUAAAGAAGCACCGGCUAACUACGUG